GUGCAUAAGGAGGUCUGGUGUUGCAAUAAUAACGAGGGAGCGAGCGAGCAUGGGGUAGGAACUAAUGAAGUACGGCAGUCAAUGUCUGCUGAACACUGGUGAGACGAUUGUCACCUGCUGUUGAAAACCCCGGAGCCGAUACACACCGCACAGCGACAUCUGGCACAGCCGACUGGCUCCCGGCUAGUCUAGCUUGCAUUAAUAAUGAGUUCCAAUGUCCACCGGUUAGAUUAACCAGUGGUAGUCACAAAAAAACUCCAACCCCAUGAUACAUCUAUACAGUUUUAGUUUAUAGAGAUGUCGCACAAAAUCUCCAGAUAGCGUUGUCAGGAUGUCAUUUGGACUGGCUUUGGGGGAGGAGUUAGACUUGGAAAACUGGGUGGAUCUUGAAGACGACGUCUUUUUAGAGGAAGACAUGGGGUAUGGAGCAUGUGAUAAGACGGUGUUCAGUCACUCGAGGGACGUCAACCAAGAUGGCGUUGGUCGAGCGCGUCGAAAGAGUGCCCCAAGCACUGGGAUUCAGAUGACCACAGAUGCAUCGGGCCAACAGUCAAAAUUUUCGGGUAUUUUCCCCAAGCGAAUGAAAAUUGCUCUUAAGCGGACCAAGAGCGUCGGGAAGUUUGACAAACACGCUACGUUGAAAGAAGAGGACGAAGAAUCGGACAUGACGUCCCCUCAUUCCAUCAAGCCCUCCCACUCCCACGAGUCUCUCCUCCUUGGGCCUCAGACGUCCUUAGACGUCUUCGAUCUCUCGGCCAAUGACCUGGUCAUCCUGCCACUACACAGCAGCAUCUUGGGCCAGGACCACUGCUUCCAGAUCACCAACUCGCUGGGCAAGAAGUACUACUCGUGUCGCUCGGCCAGCGAACGAGAUAAAUGGAUGGAAAGCAUUCGCAGCGCCGUUCACCCGGAGAAGGACAACAAACGACGGAAGGACAGCGUCCUGAGACUGUGGGUGGUGGAGGGCAAAAAUGUACCACUCAAGAGAAAGUACUACUGUGAGAUUUGUCUGGAUGAUACGCUCUACGCCAGAACCACCGCCAAGUCCAGAGGUGACAUGGUCUUCUGGGGCGAACAGUUCCUUUUCACAUGUCUUCCAGAAGCUAAAAGCGUCAAGGUUCAUUUGUACAAAGAACCGGACAAGAAGAAAAGAAGGGACAAAAACUACAUAGGGGUCGUUUCCAUUCCGCUGGACCCAAUCAGCAAUCGGGCAACGAUCGAGAAAUGGUAUCCCUUGACCAACACCUCUACAAAAGGUGACACGCCUAGUCUACGAAUCAAAGCAAGAUAUCAGAGCAUCAGUAUUCUACCCAUAGCACAGUACUCAGAACUUGCACAGUACUUGAAAGAGAACGCCGUCAGCUUGUGUCAACUCAUUGAGCAGCAGAUUAACGUCAAAACAAAAGAGGAGAUUGCAACGUCGCUGAUUAAAGUACUCCAUUGCCUCGGCUUGGCCAGCGAGUUUCUGGUGGAGUUGGUCAUGACGGAGACAAGAACAAUGAAUGAUGAGAGCCUGGUUUUCAGAGCCAACACCAUGGCAACCAAGUCCAUGGAGGCAUACAUGAAGCUGAUCGGUGGAAAGUACUUACAAGACACCAUUGGUGACUUUGUCCACACAAUAUAUGAAAAUGAGGAGGAUUGUGAGGUGGAUCCUACCAAGGUCUCUAGUAGUAUCCUACUCCAGCAGCACCAAGCCACACUGACCAUGCUGUGUGAGAUGGCCUGCUGUAAGAUUGUCAACUCGGCGGCUGCGUUUCCCUCUGAGCUCCGCGCCGUCUUCAACUCCUUCUCGCAGCACAGUCAGAAUCAGCCCAACGGCCAGGUCAUCUGUGAGAAGCUUAUCAGUGGCUGUAUCUUCCUGAGAUUCCUGUGCCCUGCCAUCAUGUCGCCCAGUCUCUUUGAUUUGAUUCAGGAGUAUCCCAGCGAGAAGACGUCACGUUGCCUCACCCUCAUUGCCAAGACGGUCCAGGGUCUUGCCAACUUCACAAAGUUUGGAACCAAAGAAAGCUACAUGGUCUUCAUGAACGAGUUCUUGGAGCGAGAAUGGUGCAACAUGAAGACGUUCCUUCAAGAAAUAUCGAGCACUCCAGACAAGGCCAACACGGUGAAGUUCAACGGCUACACAGACCUGGGCAAGGAGUUGUCGCUGCUUCAUAGCUUACUGGUUGAAACGUUGGAUGACUGUGAAAAGCUGUCAGAGGACAAGGUUGGCCCCUUGAAGAGCAUCUUAGCUCGCAUCACAUCCUACAGCAAACUACCUGAGGGAACAAUACCCUACAGCUCCUCCAACUUCAUCCAGAUGGUUCAAGGCUCAUCCAGCACAACAGUUACCAUGACGUCCACGGCUACGUCUCCCAUGGGCAAAAAGAGUCUGAAUAAGAUCUUCGACGAUGCCAAGUUGUCCGACUCGACAGAUGUAGAGAUGCUGCCACCGUAUAACAUUGCCAUGGAGCGGUCUAUCACAUCAUCAACGGUGAACAACCUGGUGGAUUUCAUCCAGCAGGAUAAUACGAACUUGACCAAUGGGAAGACAGAACUCAGCACGGCUGUUUUCGAGAUUGGCAACACCCAGACUGACGCUACCCAGAUCGAAUCGAGUACGACAGUAGAGCAGGUCCGAACGACGACAGAAUAUGAGGAGAGGAUUAUGGAGGAGUUGGAAGGAGACAUGGUGGUCUCCAUGACAUCAGAGACCAAAAAAUCUGUCAAUCAGUCGUAUUCAGUCAGUCUGGAAAGAAGUGUUGCCGCCAAUCCAGCAAUUAGUACUAACGAAACAAACAGAACCACGCUUGCCAUAGAUAGAAAUGCAGGCGGGGAUGCACGGGGCAAACGGAGGAACAGAACAUUACCGCUAUCCUUCCAAAAUCCAGCCUACCUACUCUCUAAGAAAUCCUUGCGACACUUGGAAGUUGGGGCUUCGGACAGUGUCAGUUCCUCCAACAGCAGUCCUAGCAACUCAGACGGGGCUUCAUCCAACCACGAUGGGGAUGUGUCUCAAAAUAGCUCCUCCUGUGGAGGUGUGUCUCCGCCCAUGAAUAGGAAGACAGCAUCGUCAAAAGGACCCUCGUCAUCCGCGAAGGUAGACAUUAUGGCACACACGCUACCCAAAGCUGCUCACCGCUCACACAACAUCACCUCUGUUGAUCUCUACCCGAAAGUCGACAGGCAAAUCGGGGAGAGCCAGAGUAGCAGUGCGAUCAAUGCCAAUGUGACUAAACCUCAGAUCAACAGUAGCUACAGCAGUACUUCUCUCUUCGACCCUGCCCGGACUCAGCCAAGCGUCACAUCUCCCACGGAAGCAAUUCGUGCUAUGAAUAAUGCUGCCAAGGCGGCGUUCUUUUCAUCAGUGAUUGCUCCUGGACGGGAGUCCCCGAACCCCUCCUCCCAAGGCAUCAGAAGCCCCACCUCCAGUGGCGGUCUCAAGCAACGCUCCCAAGCCAUCCUUCACAUAAACAAUGACAAUCACCAACCCUCGUUUGCCGUCACAUUCACCAAUCCCAAACCGGAAUCCCAAACUGCUCACCUAGGCCACACCCACCCUGAGCAUAUCUCAAGCUCCUCCCCUUCAAUAUCCCCGCCCACAAGCUCCCCGACCUCUGUUUCCUCAGAAGACCUUCCCGCUAGGACGCUAGUCAGGACAGAAGCUGUUAUCCAGACUGGAACCUCCGCACCCCAAUCCACUCAGUCAACUGAAUCUGUCACGUUUACAACUCAACGUUUCAUGUCCUCCCAGACCAUCUUGCCAACCUCCCCUUGUAGACCAAAGCAUUUAAACCCAGACGCAAGUCCCACGUCCCGCACCCCUCUCAUGGGUACCACGAACCUUGAAAAGAACCUUACCCCAAGGAGCGCGACCCGCUACCCAACCACCCCUGUCCUACCCAGUACUGCCAGUAUCUCUUUCAGCAUCUCCAACCUUACCCCGUCAAUGAGUGCCAUCACAAGUCCCACUAGUCCUUCCUCGCUUCCACUCCCUCGCAAGAAAAUCAUGACUCAGUUUGCCUCCAAGCCAAGGAUCUGCCAGUCGGAGAGCUCCUCCUCCAGCAGUUCUCUCAACAAACCGACGGAGAACUCAGAACUUUCCAUCCAAAUCGGCAAGAAGAUACGAUCGUUGUCGCUGCAGCACAACUUCACAUCCAAGCCGAUCGUAACAUCACCUCCAGGACCUGUCUGGACCAGAAGAAUGAAGGAUCCAUCGUCCAUAGACAGAGAAACACAGACAGAAGUGUAUUCCUUGGAGAUCCAGAUCCUGAAAGACGAGUUGGAGAAGGUGACGUUGCAACUUGAGGAGACGCAGUUGAAGUUGGAAGAGGAAGAGGUCCGAGCUGACAAGGCCAUCGCCGAGAUGAAAGUGGAGCUAGACAGCAGCCAGACAGAGCUGAGGAAACAACACGAAGACAAGGACAAACAGAUCAAAGAUAUCAUCACAAGUCCGUUAUCUACGUCGUUCGUUGGCCCCGGCUAAUCGAACGCACAACCACCACCAACACCAACAAACGACCAAAACAAACAACCCCAACACUUGACUUGUCACCGUCGAGGAAGAACUCAAGAAGGAGCAAGAGGAGAUGGUCGCCGUGGUUUCCGCCAAGCAGAAAAUCAUCGAGGCCCAAGAGAAGCGCAUAGAGUCCCUGGACGCGGCCAACGUCCGUCUCAUGAG
RNAcentral lists this unclassified non-coding RNA (4660 nucleotides) under Patiria miniata (bat star). RNAcentral describes it as "ras GTPase-activating protein nGAP-like, transcript variant X2". Lineage: Eukaryota; Metazoa; Echinodermata; Asteroidea; Valvatida; Asterinidae. The record is from RNAcentral.